This 1458-nucleotide unclassified non-coding RNA is filed under the name Hevea brasiliensis (rubber tree). Lineage: Eukaryota; Viridiplantae; Streptophyta; Magnoliopsida; Malpighiales; Euphorbiaceae. The record is from RNAcentral.
AUCCAAGCAACCAAACAGACCCCUCACCUUGUUCACCGAUUAAAAAUCACAUAAACCUACAAAACCCUAACGCCUCCAAGAGCGAAGCUGCUAAAACCUGAGCAAGAGGGUGAACACAAUCAGAGCCAAAAAAAAGUGCUUAAACAUGGCAAAGUCAAUGAGAUCGAAGAGAGAGAAGCGGCUAAGAGCCAUAAGGAGAGAUCUGGUAGAGCCCUUUUAUGACAAAAAAGAUGCAGCCAAGCUCGCUGCUCAAGAAGCUGCUCUUGCUGCUCCAAAGUUGCCCGUAAAACCUUCUCCUUUCGCUUCUACUUCUUCAGCCAUGGACACGACCACGACUGCAACUACUAUCUCAAAUACCAACAUCGAUGUGGAAAUGGCUGAUGACAGUCGAACUAGGAGUACAUUGAAGCCUAUAGGGAAGAAGCUAAAGAAGAAAUUCAAACUGGCAAAGAACAAGCGCCGCGGUAAGGGGAAGAUCAGGAGGAAGCAUAUUUAACUCUGUAAACUGAUAAGGAUCAUGUGUUCAAGUUCUGAUAUUUGUUUGCCAGGUGAAAUGACAGUUUUAUGUUUGAGACUGUUCUGUUACAUUCUGAUAUUCUGAUGCCUUAAUGAUAUCUUCAAUCUAUAAAAUUUUGAUCAUCUUUCCUUUUGGUACUGAGCUAGCAGAAAUGUGUUCAUUUCUCUUCCAGUUGGGAGAAUUUACUGAAUAUUUCUUUUUAUGUGGUGAACAUAUUGAACUUAGCCUAAUCUCGUGUGCCAAGAUCAUGUUCUUAUUAGGGCUGAGCAAUAUUCGAUUCAAAUUGAAAUAACUGACUGAACCGAAUUAAUUGAGAAACUCAGUUUGGUUUUUACAGGAAAUUGGUUCAGUUUAGAUUUAAUUUUAGCAUAUUUCUGUUUAUUUGGUUCGGUUCGGGUUUGAGAGCAAAAAUUUUCGGUUAAACAGAAUCAAACCCCCUAAAACACACCGUUUUGCUCUAGGGUUACUAAACCUACCCACUAUAUAAAUGUCAUUUUCUUUUCCUUUCUUCAAGAGUUUCUUCUUCACAUCAGACACUCUAUUUACUGUCCAUGAAACUCAUCCCUUUCUAGCUAAUUUCUUUUUCUUCUCUUCUUUUUCUUAUUUUUCUUCCCUCUAUGCGUGGUGGGUUGAGGCCCUAUCAGGUCAUCUCUUUGCCCCUUGGCCGUUGCCUCCGCCCUAAGCCCGUUGCCUCUGCCCUAAGCCCGUUGCUUACUCCUCACCUGGAACCAUGCAAGCCUUCAUGGCCUCCGUCGCGAUCUUGCCUCCCAAGUGUGAUUCAAUUUGAAAUUUUUUGUGUUGUUUGUAUUAGAUUUGUAUUUUAUUGUAUAAUUCAAUUUGUAUUUUGCUUGUAACGUGAAAUUGCAAAACUAUAUCUAUUGUUAUUGACUCAUUUUUUCGCAUCUACUUCUUCCUCUUUGUAGUGGUGCAUGUGUAUUGCG